AUUGAACGCUGGCGGCAUGCCUUACACAUGCAAGUCGAACGGCAGCGCGUCCUUCGGGAUGGCGGCGAGUGGCGAACGGGUGAGUAAUACAUCGGAACGUGCCCGAGAGUGGGGGAUAACGCAGCGAAAGCUGUGCUAAUACCGCAUACGAUCUCAGGAUGAAAGCAGGGGACCGCAAGGCCUUGCGCUCACGGAGCGGCCGAUGGCAGAUUAGGUAGUUGGUGGGAUAAAAGCUUACCAAGCCGACGAUCUGUAGCUGGUCUGAGAGGACGACCAGCCACACUGGGACUGAGACACGGCCCAGACUCCUACGGGAGGCAGCAGUGGGGAAUUUUGGACAAUGGGCGCAAGCCUGAUCCAGCCAUUCCGCGUGCAGGAUGAAGGCCUUCGGGUUGUAAACUGCUUUUGUACGGAACGAAAAGGCUCUGGUUAAUACCCGGGGCUCAUGACGGUACCGUAAGAAUAAGCACCGGCUAACUACGUG
Molecule: ribosomal RNA, 484 nt
Filed under: uncultured bacterium
Lineage: Bacteria
Description: bacterial SSU rRNA
Rfam family: Bacterial small subunit ribosomal RNA
Source: RNAcentral